GUCCACGCCGUAAACGAUGGUCACUAGGUGUGUGUGGUAUCGACCCCACACGUGCCGCAGCUAACGCAAUAAGUGACCCGCAUGGGGAGUACGGCCGCAAGGUUGAAACUCAAAGGAAUUGACGGGGGCCCGCACAAGCGGUGGAGCAUGUGGAUUAAUACGUCACUAACCGUAGAACCUUACCCAGGCUUGACAUCUGUGGAACCCUCCUGAAAGGGAGGGGUGCCUCGCAAGAGGAGCCGCAAGACAGGUGUUGCAUGGCUGUCGU
RNAcentral lists this ribosomal RNA (268 nucleotides) under uncultured bacterium. RNAcentral's name for it is "partial 16S ribosomal RNA". It matches the Rfam family "Bacterial small subunit ribosomal RNA", at positions 793 to 1055 of the family's 1533-position model. The record is from RNAcentral.